RNAcentral lists this ribosomal RNA (460 nucleotides) under uncultured bacterium. RNAcentral describes it as "partial 16S ribosomal RNA". It matches the Rfam family "Bacterial small subunit ribosomal RNA", at positions 338 to 795 of the family's 1533-position model. The record is from RNAcentral.
CCUACGGGAGGCUGCAGUGAGGAAUAUUGGUCAAUGGACGAGAGUCUGAACCAGCCAAGUAGCGUGAAGGAUGACUGCCCUAUGGGUUGUAAACUUCUUUUAUAUGGGAAUAAAAUGUUCCACGUGUGGGAUUUUGUAUGUACCAUAUGAAUAAGGAUCGGCUAACUCCGUGCCAGCAGCCGCGGUAAUACGGAGGAUCCGAGCGUUAUCCGGAUUUAUUGGGUUUAAAGGGAGCGUAGGUGGAUUGUUAAGUCAGUUGUGAAAGUUUGCGGCUCAACCAUAAAAUUGCAGUUGAAACUGGCAGUCUUGAGUACAGUAGAGGUGGGCGGAAUUCGUGGUGUAGCGGUGAAAUGCUUAGAUAUCACGAAGAACUCCGAUUGCGAAGGCAGUUCACUGGACUGCAACUGACACUGAGGCUCGAAAGUGUGGGUAUCAAACAGGAUUAGAUACCCGAGUAGUC